ACUGCUCUAAUUCUUUUGCUUCAUCCUGAAGUGUUCUCUCAUAGUUGUCUUCCAAAGCCUUUAAUUUUAUCUUUUCAUCUUUGAUCUUUUUGAGUUGCUUGGUUAUUUCAUCUAUACUGUCAGAAACUCUUUUCAUUUCCUGUGUCGUAACUUCAACCAAUGAUUUAGCAUCUGUCAAUUCCUGCCUCUUCAAAUCAGCUUCACCAUACAAUAAAUCAGUCUCUGCAGAUGAUAUUAUGGCUUCCAACUCUUGCUUUCGCCUUUUCAGAUUAGUUGUAAGAUUAGUCUCUAGCUCUGCUUUUCUUGUUUCAGUCUCAAUGCGAUCUGUUCUGCAGGCAAUAUGC
RNAcentral lists this unclassified non-coding RNA (344 nucleotides) under Hevea brasiliensis (rubber tree). The record is from RNAcentral. Lineage: Eukaryota; Viridiplantae; Streptophyta; Magnoliopsida; Malpighiales; Euphorbiaceae.